This 489-nucleotide ribosomal RNA is filed under the name uncultured bacterium. RNAcentral describes it as "bacterial SSU rRNA". It matches the Rfam family "Bacterial small subunit ribosomal RNA", at positions 28 to 527 of the family's 1533-position model. The record is from RNAcentral.
GAUGAACGCUAGCGGCAGGCUUAAUACAUGCAAGUCGAGGGGCAGCAUGACUGUAGCAAUACAGUUGAUGGCGACCGGCAAACGGGUGCGGAACACGUACAGAACCUUCCUUCGAGCGGGGAAUAGCCCAGAGAAAUUUGGAUUAAUACCCCAUAGUACAACGGAGUGGCAUCACUUUGUUGUUAAAGAUUUAUCACUUGAAGAUGGCUGUGCGGCUGAUUAGGUAGUUGGCGGGGUAACGGCCCACCAAGCCUGCGAUCAGUAACUGGUGUGAGAGCACGACCAGUCACACGGGCACUGAGACACGGGCCCGACUCCUACGGGAGGCAGCAGUAAGGAAUAUUGGUCAAUGGACGAAAGUCUGAACCAGCCAUGCCGCGUGGAGGAUGAAGGCUUUAGGGUUGUAAACUCCUUUUGUGGGGGAAAAGAAUGGAUGGUACCCCAAGAAUAAGUCACGGCUAACUACGUGCCAGCAGCCGCGGUAAAGAG